UGAGAUAGAGGACGCACCCGGUCAUCAGUAAGCGCUGUGGAACUGUGCAGAGUACAGCGAGUGAAAGGGGCAGGUGCCGAAGUGAGGAAGGACUGCAUCUCCGACCGAUCUGGGCGGACGGAAUAAGAUCCGUACGACUGUCGCGACAACGCGGAGAGCUAUCC
RNAcentral lists this non-coding RNA (164 nucleotides) under bovine gut metagenome. RNAcentral describes it as "Lysine riboswitch". It matches the Rfam family "Lysine riboswitch aptamer". Rfam says of the family: Riboswitches are metabolite binding domains within certain messenger RNAs that serve as precision sensors for their corresponding targets. Allosteric rearrangement of mRNA structure is mediated by ligand binding, and this results in modulation of gene expression. This family includes riboswitches that sense lysine in a number of genes involved in lysine metabolism, including lysC. The record is from RNAcentral.